This 220-nucleotide unclassified non-coding RNA is filed under the name soil metagenome. RNAcentral describes it as "partial contains 5.8S ribosomal RNA, internal transcribed spacer 2, and large subunit ribosomal RNA". The record is from RNAcentral.
AACAAGGCGUACCUGCGGACCUGCGGAAGGAUCAUUACCAGAGUGCCUUCAGGCUCUCCAACCCACUGUGAACAUACCUACGUUCCCCCGGCGGGCUCAGCGCGCGGCGGCUCCGGCCGCCCGCGUCCGCCGAGGGCAUCUCAAACCCGAAUUUAUUCGUGUCUUCUGAGGGGCGAAAGCCCGUAAAACAAAAUGAAUCAAAACUUUUAACAAUGGAUCU